This is a long non-coding RNA of Apus apus (common swift), 611 nucleotides long. RefSeq lists it as uncharacterized. The transcript has 3 exons. The record is from RefSeq and is a predicted model, not a curated record. NCBI's taxonomy places the organism in Eukaryota, Metazoa, Chordata, Aves, Apodiformes, Apodidae.
CGGAGGGGAAGAGCCCGCAGCCCCUCUCCCGCGGCCGCCCGGGAGCUGGGGCAGGUGGGGCAGGUGAAGCCUCCGGCUGGGAGGCUGCUGGCGUGAAGUAAGGAGAGAGAGAGAGAGAAAGGGCGGGGGUGUGAGGCAGAAACCCAAGACGCGUUCUGGUAAUGUCCUUUUCCUGCCUCCCCUUCUUCGCUCGGGCGCUGCAGGAGAGGUCAGGGCCCUGCUGGUGCUGGGGUGGGCCCGCAGCCAGGCCCCCCCCCGUGCGGGAGAAGCCCCCAACCCCUGCAGAACCCUGAGGAGCUUGGCAGUGUCAUGUUCCCCGCGUUCCGCCGGGAAGAUUCCAGAGCUCCAUCACGCCAUUCCCAGUGCACCGUGCAAUGCCCUGAGAUCCUCUCCGUUGUUUUGUUUUGUUGUGUUUUUUUUUCCUCCACAAGAAGCUACAAAGUUUCACGACUAGUAACAUUUUUGAAACCCUGGGGGGGUCUGGAAUCCACGGGACAGGGGUUUGUUGCCUUUUCGACAGAGCUAAAGAGAAGGUUUGUAGAUUCUCUAGCUCGACGCUCAGAAGCACAGAAAUGUUCCCAAGUGCUAGCUGCUCUGAAAUGAUUUCACAG